CACGGCCUCACCUAAUAAGGUGCUAGAAACUUACGAGAGAGAGAGAGAGGGGGGGGAGAUAUCAGAAUGAGAGAACUCAGAGAGUAUAAAAGGUCUAUUUUGAAGAGACUUGAUUAGCUUGAAGAAAACACAGAAAAACAUUUCAAUACUGAAACAAACUUAACAAAGAGAUGAAAGCAAUUUUAAAAAAUCAAACAAAUUAUUGAGGCGAAAAAUACAUUUGGUUAAAAAAUGCAACAGAUGGCAUCAAUAGCAUGAUUGAUCAAGCUAAAUAAAUAAUUAGUGAGCUCAAAGGCAGGCUGUUUGAAAAUACAGAGUUGGAGGAGGAAAAAAGCACAAAGAGAAAUGAAGAAAGCUUGGGAACUUUGGGAGAAUAUUUAAAAAGGAAAUAUUUGUGUUAUGGGUUUAAGAAGGACUUGAGAAUGCCAAAGGCUAGAAAGUUUUAUUCAUAGAAGUAAUAACAUAAAACUUCUUAAACUUAGAAAAGUAUAGGAAAUAUACAAGUAGAGGAAGGUCAAAGUUAAUCAGUCAAAUUUAACUAAAUCUAUCCCAAAACAUAGUCAAGCUUUCAGAGGUGAAAGUUAAGGAAAAGAUUCUCAAGACCGAGAGAAAAGAAAUGAAUAAUACAUAGAGGUUCCCAGUUUACCUGACUUAGCAGAUAUCCUUCAGGCCACAAGAGAGUGGCAUGAACUUUUCACAGUACUGAUGGAAAAACAUACAAAAAAAAAAAAAAAAAACACCUGUCAGUUGAGAAUAUUGUACCCAGCAAAGCUAUCCUCUAGAAAUAGAAGAUAAAUAUGUGAUAAACACAUUCCUAGACAAACAUACACUGAGAGAAUAUAUUUCUGCCAGACCUGUUCUAUAAGAAAUGCUAAAGGAUGUUCAAACUGAAAGAAGGAGAGUAAUGACUAAAAUGAAAGCAUGGGAAGGCAUAAAACUCACUUGUAAGAAUAAUUAUACAAACUCAGAAUGUUCUAAUAUUAUAUGCAUUGUAUGUACAACAAUCAUAUUUAGUACAAAUACUGAAAAAUAAAAUCAUUGAGAACAAUACAAACUUAUGGUAAUGUUAAAAUAUAGACAAUUUAAAAAGAUAUAAAAUGGGACACAAAAAUUCAAUAUGUGGGAGGAAUGGAAUGCAAGUGUUGAGUUUACUCUUUAGUAUAUUUUUUCAUUCAUUUUAUUUUAAUUGUUUAUGGUCAUAGCAAGUUGCUAUUGUUUCAAAGUAGCUUGGUAUAAUCAAAUUGUGUCUUUAUAUGUCUCACUGGAACCACAAGGCAAAACAUUUAUAAUUGCAAACCAACAAUAAUAAACAAAGAAUCAAAACACACCACUAUAGUAAAUCACUUUGCCACAAAGGGAGACUGUAAAAGGUGGAUAAAGAAAGAAAGGAACUAUAAGAAAACUAGAAAACAAGAUAUGUAAUGGCCUGAGUGGGACUUUGCCUAUCAAUACUUAUCUAGAAGAGCCUAUAAUGUGGGAACAAAUUUUUACCACACACACAUCAGAUAGAACACUAGUCUCUAGGACAUAUAAAGAACUCAAAAAUCUUAACACCCCCCCCCCAAAAAAAAA
This 1572-nucleotide long non-coding RNA is filed under the name Marmota monax (woodchuck). The record is from RNAcentral. Lineage: Eukaryota; Metazoa; Chordata; Mammalia; Rodentia; Sciuridae.